Molecule: ribosomal RNA, 450 nt
Filed under: uncultured bacterium
Lineage: Bacteria
Description: partial 16S ribosomal RNA
Rfam family: Bacterial small subunit ribosomal RNA
Source: RNAcentral
GUGGGGAAUUUUGGACAAUGGGCGAAAGCCUGAUCCAGCAAUGCCGCGUGUGUGAAGAAGGCCUUCGGGUUGUAAAGCACUUUUGUCCGGAAAGAAAUCUGUCUGGCUAAUACCCGGACGGGAUGACGGUACCGGAAGAAUAAGCACCGGCUAACUACGUGCCAGCAGCCGCGGUAAUACGUAGGGUGCGAGCGUUAAUCGGAAUUACUGGGCGUAAAGCGUGCGCAGGCGGUUUUGUAAGACCGAUGUGAAAUCCCCGGGCUUAACCUGGGAACUGCAUUGGUGACUGCAAGGCUAGAGUGCGUCAGAGGGGGGUGGAAUUCCGCGUGUAGCAGUGAAAUGCGUAGAGAUGCGGAGGAACACCGAUGGCGAAGGCAGCCCCCUGGGAUGACACUGACGCUCAUGCACGAAAGCGUGGGGAGCAAACAGGAUUAGAAACCCCUGUAGUCC